This 246-nucleotide ribosomal RNA is filed under the name uncultured bacterium. RNAcentral describes it as "partial 16S ribosomal RNA". It matches the Rfam family "Bacterial small subunit ribosomal RNA", at positions 118 to 346 of the family's 1533-position model. The record is from RNAcentral.
UGGGUAACCUGCCUCAAAGAGGGGAAUAGCCUCCCGAAAGGGAGAUUAAUACCGCAUAAUAUGUUUAAGUCGCAUGACUUUAACAUCAAAGGAUUUUCUUUUAGAAAUUCCACUUUGAGAUGGACCCCGCGGCGCAUUAGCUAGUUGGUGAGGUAACGGCUCACCAAGGCAACGAUCCGUAGCUGGUCUGAGAGGAUGAUCAGCCACACGUGGGACUGAGACCACGGCCCAGAUCCCGUAACGGGG